GAAUAUAUACAGGGGCUCAGCCAACCUCCAAAAUAAUUGAUGCUGGAUCAAUGGAAGAGCAAAGGUCCGGAGACUUGACUCAUCAGCUUUGGAGAUCCAUUCAACACUUGGCUCCAUCUAGAUUUCUGGUUUUGCUUUAUGUAUAUAGAAUCUGUAGCUUUAUUUUGUUUUUCUUCGUAAGUUCUCUUGAUUUUCUUUUAAUUAUUCCACCG
This 212-nucleotide long non-coding RNA is filed under the name Gossypium barbadense (sea-island cotton). RNAcentral describes it as "long non-coding RNA (GBAR_LNC016220)". Lineage: Eukaryota; Viridiplantae; Streptophyta; Magnoliopsida; Malvales; Malvaceae. The record is from RNAcentral.